Nicotiana tabacum (common tobacco) is the source of this 3677-nucleotide non-coding RNA. Lineage: Eukaryota; Viridiplantae; Streptophyta; Magnoliopsida; Solanales; Solanaceae. The record is from RefSeq and is a predicted model, not a curated record.
UGUGUUGUAUAAAUAAACAAGUUAGUAGAGUGAAGAAAUACAGGCUUUUAUUUUCAUUUCUUCUCUCAGGCUCUCUUCUCUCUUCUCUAUCUCUCAACUAGUUGCUUCCAUUCAUGUGUGUAUCAUCGAAGUUUCUAGAAUACAGAGAUGGAAUCUACUGAUUUUAACAUGGUAUCAUAGCUUAACAACUAUUAAUAUAGCUAUUUGCAUCACGAUCCACGAAGUUUGUCGACUGUGAGAUUUUUGUGAAACUCAGCUUUGGCGAUUGAUUAUACAGAGCUAGAGAAACACAACCACAAUCAUUUGUUGUAUCUAUAUGCAACAAAUACCUCUGGAACAAUGCUAAUUUCUCUUCAAUUGACCGGACCGAAAAAUUACUUGUGUGGAGUCGGGCUAUGCGAAUUGCGAUCCUAGAGAGAAAUAAAUUAUGGUUUAUAGACGACAUAUGCAAAAGGGAGAAUUACGGUCCAAAUUUAGUUGAUUUGUGGGAGAGAUGUAAUGCAAUAAUUCUAUCAUGGAUAAUGAAUUGUGUUUCAAAAAAAUAAUAUAGUGGAAUUGUAUAUCUACAAAUGUUGCAUCUGUGUAGGGAGAUUUGAAGGAGAGGUUUGAUAAGAUUGAUAAGAAGAUUGCUACAAUCAUAAGAAGAUUGCUACAAUCAACCAGGGGAUGAACACAAUUAUUUCUUGAAAUUGAGGCUGCUAUGGGCUGAAUUUGAUAGUUUGGCCCCAACUCCAAGUUGUGAUUGUGCAAAAUUUCAAGAAUUUAUGACAUUUAUGGAGCGAUUGAAGCUGCUAUAAUUUCUGAUAGGACUCAAUGAGUCGUAUGAGCAAGCUAGGAGCUAAUUGCUCAUGAUGGUACAUGUGCCUAACAUCAACAAAGCUUACUCUAUGCUAAUGGUAAGAGAGAGCCAAAAGAAACAUGACCAACACUGUCUCUGCAGCUGAAAGUGGAGACAUUGCAUCAUUGAUGAUGGCAAAAGAAGGAUUUACUCAAAAGCCUAAGAAUAGCUACAAUAUGUAAUGUGAUUACUGCAAACUCAAGGGCUAUACUCGUGAAGGAUGCUAUAAACUGAUAAGGUACCUUGCUGACUUCAAGAAUAAGAAAAAGCCAACCUUAAAUGUAGCUCACAAUGCCUCAAUUGAAGAUGGUAGAAGGCAUGAUGCAAAGGAAGCAACUCAGAACAAUGGUGAUGACUAUGCUACAGAACACAUGAAAGGACUUUACUUCAUCCCUGAGUAGUACUCUCAAAUUUUGAAGCUGCUGAAACAGGACAACACUGAUGAAAUCUUAGCAAAUAUGGCAGGGCAAUUGCUAUUGUUAUGAUGAGGUAACUACCAAAGGGUAUAUCCUAUAUGACCUAGUUGUUCACACAUUUUUUGUCAACAUGGAUGAUAGCUUCAGAGAAACCUUAUUUCCAUUCAAACACAAGAAAGAUAUACACUCACCAUUAUUCUCUGAUCCUGGUUUGGAUUAUUCUUAUCACAUGAUCCUACUGUAGAUCAUGUAGAAAUUGAAAGCCUCACAGAUAACUAGACGCUGCUUACUUGGGAGAUGCUAACGCAACAGACCUACCAACUGCAGCAGACCAUGCAACAAGCAUUCUAACUUUAGCAGACCUUCCAGAUGUUACUGCACCAAAUAUAGAGUUAGUUAUGAAAGACUUAAGUCUGAGUGAACAUGAUCAUGAAGAAGGAGUAUUCCAAGAUAUCAUGCCACCAGCUGAAUAAGUAGAGUUCAGAAAAUCAGACAAACCAAAGAAUACCCCUAAUUGGAUGAAAGACUUUAUCACACCAACCACCAAUUGUGCCUCACAUAUUCAAUAUCCUAUUCAGGAAUCAAUUGGCUACCUCAGUCCUACAUAUAGACAUUUUCUGACAGCUCUUACUUCUAUAGAUGAACCUAAAACCUUUAAGGAAGGUUCUGCAGACCCUAGAUGGGUGGAAGCCAUGAAAGCUGAAAUUUCAGCAUUGGAAGAGAACAACACAUGAGAAUUAGUACAUUUACCUAAAGGAAAGACUCCUAUUGAUUGUAAAUAAGUCUUCAAGGUAAAGUACAAAGCUAAUAGUGAUAUAGAGAGGUUUAAGGCAAAGCUGGUAGCAAAUGGCUACAAUCAAUAGGAAGGGCUUGAUUACACUAAAAUAUUUUCUCCAGUUGUGUAGAUAGCCACUGUCAGAUUAGUGGUCUCUAUAGGUGUUGUAGAAGGUUGGAACAUCCAUCAAAUUAAUGUGUACAAUACUUUUCUAUAGGGAGAUCUACAUGAUAAGGUUUAUAUGCAGUUACCCGAGGGCUUUGCAAGCCAGGAGGAGAGACCACACCUUGUUUGCAGGCUUGUCAAAUCUCUCUAUGGGUUGAAGCAAGAAAACAAGCAUUGGAAUGUCAAGUUAACUGAAGCUCUAGUAGCUCAAGGGUUCACCCAAAGUAGUUUGGAUCACUCUUUGUUCACUCAGAAAUAGAACAACAACAUUGUUGCUAUUUUGUUUUAUGUGGAUGAUAUGUUGAUCACCGGGAAUAGCUUGAAGCUGAUAGAAGCCACUAAGGGGAAACUGAAUCAGACAUUCAAAAUGAAGGAACAUAGAGAGUUAAAAUAUUUUUUAGGGAUUGAAUUCAACAGAUUCACUAAGGGAAUCUUGAUGAACCAGAGGAAGUAUGCCUUAGAAUUAAUUGGUGAAAUGGGAUUGAGUGCUGCAAAGCCUGCUUGGACUCCACUUGAGUAUAAUAAUAAAUUCACAAACAAGGAAUUAGAUGACAUUACAGGGGUGAAAGAUGAUGAUUUGCUGGAAUACAAGGGACAAUACCAGAGGCUAAUUGGGAAGCUAUUAUAUUUGACACUAACCAGAUUAGACAUAGCUUUUGCUAUUUAAACUCUAAGCCAUUUCAUGCAACAACCUAAAAGAAGUCACUGGGAAGCAACUCUAAGGUUCUGAGAUAUAUCAGAAGAGAACCUGGACUUGGCAUUCUAAUGAGUAGUAAAAAGGACAAUGUAUUAAGUGCAUAUCGUGGUGCUGAUUGGGCAUCGUAUCCCAAUACAAGAAAAUCAGUAACUUAUUUUCUAGUGAAGAAUGGAAGUUCACUUAUCUCCUAGAAGUCUAAGAAACAAAACACAACGUCGAGAAGCUCAUCAGAAGAUGAGUAUAGAAGCAUGGCAUGGACCGUUGCAGAACUAGUGUGGUUGACUGGACUGUUCAAAGAGUUGAGAGCAGAUGUGAGGCAGCCUAUUGACCUAUUUUAUGACAACAAAGCAGCACAACAGAUUGUAGCAAACCCAGUAUAUCAUGAGAGAACAAAGCAUAUAGAGAUUGAUUGUCAUUUUGUAAGGGAGAAGAUUCAACAAGAAAUGGUGAAAUACAUCAUGUCAGUUCCAAGGAGCAGCAAACAAAUAUAUUAACUAAGGCACUAUUGAGAUCACAACAUGAGUAUUUAGUGUCCAAACUGGGAGUGCUCAAUAUUUUUGCACCUAUCAGUUUGAGAGGGAGUGUUGAAACUGGUGCAACGUGAGGUUAGCUAACUCUAGUUAUUAGUUAACUAGGGUUAGGUAGUUAGUAAGUUGGUUAAUUAUUGGUAAGGUAGUUAGUGAGUUAGUUGAUAGGUGACAAUUGUACAUUAGUUGGAUAUUAGUGCAUGUGUGUUGUAUAAAUAAACAAGUUAGUGGAAUGAAGAAAUACAUGCUUUCAUUUUUA